GUAGGUGAACCUGCGGAAGGAUCAUUACCGAGAUUUUUAUCUGCUUGCAGAUAAUCUCCCACCCUUUGCGUAUCAAAUUUUAUACUUUGGUGAAGCGUGUCUCUUCACAGGGAACCAUCGGCUUUCGAGCGGGUGAGUCUUCGCCAAAGGACCCCAAACUCUUUAUUUUUAUCAAUUGUCUGAGUUUAUAUUUUAAAUAAACAAAACUUUCAACAACGGAUCUCUUGGUUCUGGCAUCGAUGAAGAACGC
RNAcentral lists this unclassified non-coding RNA (250 nucleotides) under plant metagenome. Its description in RNAcentral is "partial contains small subunit ribosomal RNA, internal transcribed spacer 1, and 5.8S ribosomal RNA". The stretch from base 205 to 250 matches the Rfam family "5.8S ribosomal RNA", at positions 1 to 46 of the family's 154-position model. The record is from RNAcentral.